AAUGAACGCUGGCGGCGUGGAUAAGACAUGCAAGUCGAACGGGACUUUGAAAUAGCUUGCUAAUUCAAAGUUUAGUGGCGGACGGGUUAGUAACGCGUGAGCAACUUGCCUCAAAGAGGGGGAUAGCCUGCCGAAAGGUGGAUUAAUACCGCAUGUGAUCGAAAGAUUAAAGGUGCCUUUUAGGUGCCGCUUUGAGAUAGGCUCGCGUCCUAUCAGCUAGAUGGUGAGGUAAUGGCUCACCAUGGCGAUGACGGGUAGCUGUUCUGAGAGGAAGAUCAGCAACACUGGAACUGAGACACGGUCCAGACACCUACGGGUGGCAGCAGUCGAGAAUCAUUCACAAUGGACGAAAGUCUGAUGGUGCAACGCCGCGUGGAGGAUGAAGGCCCUAGGGUCGUAAACUCCUGUCAUAUAAGAGUAAGGCAUAUUGGUUAAGAGCUAGUAUGCUUGAUAGUAUUAUAAGAGGAAGGGACGGCUAACUUCGUGCCAGCAGCCGCCGUAACAC
Molecule: ribosomal RNA, 505 nt
Filed under: uncultured bacterium
Lineage: Bacteria
Description: bacterial SSU rRNA
Rfam family: Bacterial small subunit ribosomal RNA
Source: RNAcentral